RNAcentral lists this ribosomal RNA (880 nucleotides) under uncultured bacterium. RNAcentral describes it as "bacterial SSU rRNA". It matches the Rfam family "Bacterial small subunit ribosomal RNA", at positions 11 to 896 of the family's 1533-position model. The record is from RNAcentral.
GUUUGAUCAUGGCUCAGGAUGAACGCUAGCGGAAGGCUUAAUACAUGCAAGUCGAGCGGUAGUCCCUUUCGGGGGAUGAGAGCGGCGCACGGGUGAGUAACGCGUACAUGACCAGCCUAUCAGAAGGGGAUAGCCCUGGGAAACUGGGAUUAAUACCCUAUGGCAUUGUAUUUUUAAAUGGAUACAAUUAAAGCUGAGGCGCUGAUAGAUGGAUGUGCGUCUGAUUAGCUAGUUGGUGGGGUAAAGGCCCACCAAGGCGACGAUCAGUAGGGGGCGUGAGAGCGUGGUCCCCCACACGGGUACUGAGACACGGACCCGACUCCUACGGGAGGCAGCAGUAAGGAAUAUUGGUCAAUGCCCGCAAGGGUGAACCAGCCAUUCCGCGUGGAGGAUGAAGGCCCUAUGGGUUGUAAACUUCUUUUAGAUGGGAAGAAAAUGCUUUGUUUACAAGGUACUGACGGUACCAUCAGAAUAAGCACCGGCUAACUCCGUGCCAGCAGCCGCGGUAAUACGGAGGGUGCGAGCGUUAUCCGGAAUUACUGGGUUUAAAGGGUGCGUAGGCGGAUAAUUAAGUCUAAGGUGAAAGUCUGUCGCUUAACGAUAGAAUUGCCUUGGAUACUGGUUAUCUUGAAUAGGGAUGAGGAUAGCGGAAUGCGGCAUGUAGCGGUGAAAUGCAUAGAUAUGCCAUAGAACACCAAUUGCGAAGGCAGCUAUCUGGUCUUUUAUUGACGCUGAGGCACGAAAGCGUGGGGAUCGAACAGGAUUAGAUACCCUGGUAGUCCACGCCCUAAACGAUGCUAACUCGAUGUUUGGUUAUUAUGAUUGAGCAUCCAAGCGAAAGCGUUAAGUUAGCCACCUGGGGAGUACGACCGCAAGGUUG